RNAcentral lists this ribosomal RNA (406 nucleotides) under uncultured bacterium. RNAcentral's name for it is "partial 16S ribosomal RNA". It matches the Rfam family "Bacterial small subunit ribosomal RNA", at positions 30 to 526 of the family's 1533-position model. The record is from RNAcentral.
AUUGAACGCUGGCGGCAGGCCUAACACAUGCAAGUCGAACGAGUGGCGGACGGGUGAGUAAUGUCUGGGAAAAUGCCCGAUGGAGGGGGAUAACUACUGGAAACGGUAGCUAAUACCGCAUACCAUCGGAUGUGCCCAGAUGGGAUUAGCUAGUAGGUGGGGUAAAGGCUCACCUAGGCGACGCUCCCUAGCUGGUCUGCGAGGAUGACCAGCCACAUUGGAACUGAGACACGGUCCAUACUCCUACGGGAUGCAGCAUUGGUGAAUAUUGCACAAUGGGCGCAAGCCUGAUGCAGCCAUGCCGCGUGUAUGAAGAAGGCCUUCGGGUUGUAAAGUACUUUCAGCGAGGAGGCGUUACUCGCAGAAGAAGCACCGGCUAACUCCGUGCCAGCAGCCGCGGUAAUAC